This 426-nucleotide ribosomal RNA is filed under the name uncultured bacterium. Its description in RNAcentral is "bacterial SSU rRNA". It matches the Rfam family "Bacterial small subunit ribosomal RNA", at positions 356 to 774 of the family's 1533-position model. The record is from RNAcentral.
AGGGAAUAUUGGACAAUGGGCGACAGCCUGAUCCAGCAAUGCCGCGUGUGUGAAGAAGGCCUGCGGGUUGUAAAGCACUUUCAGUUGGGAAGAAAAGCGUUAGGUUAAUACCCUGAUUUUUUGACGUUACCAACAGAAGAAGCACCGGCUAACUCUGUGCCAGCAGCCGCGGUAAUACAGAGGGUGCGAGCGUUAAUCGGAAUUACUGGGCGUAAAGCGUGCGUAGGCGGCUAAGUUAGUCGGAUGUGAAAGCCCAAGGCUUAACCUUGGAAUGCCAUUCGAUACUGCUUGGCUAGAGUACAGUAGAGGGAAGCGGAAUUCUUAGUGUAGCGGUGAAAUGCGUAGAUAUUAGGAAGAACACCAGUGGCGAAGGCGGCUUCCUAGACUGAUACUGACGCUGAGGUACGAAAGCGUGGGGAGCAAACA